UUGGUCCUCUGACUAUUGGGGUAGUACUCUUUUUAGUCCUCGACUUUCAAUUCGACCAAAAUACAUACCUCGACUUUCAUUUUUGACCAUAAAUAGUCCUCCGCUAAAAUUUCUAUUCGAUUGU
Molecule: long non-coding RNA, 124 nt
Organism: Ipomoea nil (Japanese morning glory)
Lineage: Eukaryota; Viridiplantae; Streptophyta; Magnoliopsida; Solanales; Convolvulaceae
Exons: 3
Source: RefSeq, a predicted model, not a curated record